GACAGAGGCCCCGAGCGUUAGGCGGAAUCACUGGGCUUAAAGCGUGUGUAGGCGGAUCGUUAAGUGUCUUGUGAAAUCCCACGGCUCACCCGUGGAACCGCUGGGCAUACUGGCGAUCUUGGGCCGUUCAGGGGCGACUGGAACAAGCGGUGGAGCGGUGAAAUGCGUAGAUAUCGCUUGGAACGCCGAAGGUGAAAACAGGUCGCUGGGGACGCGCCGACGCUGAGACACGAAAGCCAGGGGAGCAAACGGG
RNAcentral lists this ribosomal RNA (253 nucleotides) under uncultured bacterium. RNAcentral's name for it is "partial 16S ribosomal RNA". It matches the Rfam family "Bacterial small subunit ribosomal RNA", at positions 524 to 776 of the family's 1533-position model. The record is from RNAcentral.